GAAUUAGUAAUUUAAUAGGUAAAUAGUUUUCUUGUCGAGAAAAAAGAUAUCGGUUCAAAUCCGAUUUAAUUCG
Molecule: non-coding RNA, 73 nt
Organism: Aplosporella prunicola CBS 121167
Lineage: Eukaryota; Fungi; Ascomycota; Dothideomycetes; Botryosphaeriales; Aplosporellaceae
Source: the annotation of a RefSeq genome assembly